CAAAAAGAAAGAGGGGGGGAAAAAAGAGUCUUCAAUUUGGAAAAAAGUCGACUCGACAGAAGAGCUGGUUUAUUACUGUAUACUCACUAUUGUGCAAACUCUUGAGAUCUUGAGAGGAGGAGGAGGAGGAUUAUGAAAAGGCACAUUUUCCCCCAGCAAAUACGGCAUAACAUUUGACAAUUUAGGCAUUGCUUUGCUAGGAGGUUGUUUAAGGACAGCAUAAGACAAAUGCCAUCGCACAAUCCUCUGCUUCGCACGGUCUGCACGCCAUGAUCCUACCUGUGGAGAAGAGAGGGUGUGUCACAAGGCCCCUGCGCAACAUGCUACCAGCUUCAGGAAAUCGACCUUAGAAGCCUACAACAGCAAAACUUACUAGUAAGGGCUACAUGACAAACAUUGUCAAUCAGCUGAGCCUAAAUACCGCCUUUCUCCGUAAAGACGCUUCCUGAUUGGUCGUGCGUACUUGAAGCAAUUUCCUUUUUCCACAUCCUGCUGCUGAGAAAGGUGUGGCCCACUACUGUGCAAAGGUCAUCUCCACGGUGAUAGAUGUGGGGUUAUCUCCAUGACGAUGGAUUGCAGGGGGUGUCGGUUGCCGAAGGUCGCACACCAAGGACGAGGCGAGAGUGAUUGCAGCCACCCAGACAGGAAAUCGAAGAGAAGCACUCGGAGGGGGACAGAGGAAAAAGAUGAAGUAGCCCUGAUUUGUGGACACAGAGGACACACGUCUCCAGUGAUAAGGACACUCAGUGGGACCGUCCCGGAUGAGCAGGCACAGAGGGGAAUGGUCGGGCUGAAUCUGCUGUAGCCCUGCCACACAAUUAGAUCUGCUGCUACCCUCAAGGUUGUUGAAUGUUUUGCACAAUGGGGGUCUCUGAGCAUUUUCUCAUGUUACUCAUACGGUAUAGACGGAACAAGCCACAGCUAAUACUUUUACCAUUCCCACAUCCAUUACUUAGCCAAAUCAUUUCAACCUAAACAAACAAGAUCAAGCAUUCCCAUUGCUCAUCUAAAAUGUACUUGACUUGAAUUGGUUGUGAAAUAUAUCUUCUGAAAUAUGUAUUAGUUUAUCCUAUUCAAAACAGACUUAAAAACAGGAAGAUGUUAUGUAGUCAGCUAUGUGAGAAGACGUGAGAGAAUGGCCAGAUUUUUUAAAAACCUGUCCGUCCUGUGGCAUGUCCAUUCACACGCUCCCUCUGUCACACCUCUCUCCUGUCACUCACACAAAGCACAAGGCAUGCUGGGAGCUCGGUUUCCAGGGCGACCGCGAGCCACCUUUCCCUGACAACAGUUCAGGAUGCAGAGCUUGAAGACAUUAGCUUGCACCUCAGGUGUGGCAAUACCACUGCCUAUAGCUCAGCCUUGUGCAGAACAAAGCAAGUGGAGGCAGCAGAGGAGCUUGUUAUGAAGCAACGGACGAGACAAAGCAAUGUCAAACAAAGCUGCAAAAUAUAGAAUCUCACUGUUACCCAUGCACAAAAUUAAGUAUACACUUUAUUUGCAUGUGUAUUCAAAUAUUUUUUCUUAAGACUAUGAAUAUAAUCACAGAGAACGUACAGCACUAAUAUGGUCCAGCUUUUGCAUAUAUUGUAAAUAUAUUAU
RNAcentral lists this long non-coding RNA (1599 nucleotides) under Neogobius melanostomus (round goby). RNAcentral describes it as "lncRNA (ENSNMLG00000009646.1)". Lineage: Eukaryota; Metazoa; Chordata; Actinopteri; Gobiiformes; Gobiidae. The record is from RNAcentral.